CCCUUAGAUGUUCUGGGCCGCACGCGUGCUACACUGAGUGGAUCAGCGGGUCAGGUUACGCGAGAGCGUUUCCUAAUCUUCAAAUCCGCUCGUGAUGGGGAUUGACGGUUGCAAUUUUCCGUCAUGAACGAGGAAUACCUUGUAAGCGCGGGUCAUCAUCCCGCGCUGAAUACGUCCCUGCCCUUUGUACACACCGCCCGCCGCUCCUACCGAUUGAGUGGUCCGGUGAGGCUUUGGGAUCUAAGCGAAAAGAGCGUUUCGCUCCUUUUGCUGGGAGAACUCAGUCGAACCUUAUCAUUUAGAGGAAGGAGAAGUCGUAACA
Molecule: ribosomal RNA, 322 nt
Filed under: uncultured eukaryote
Lineage: Eukaryota
Description: partial 18S ribosomal RNA
Rfam family: Eukaryotic small subunit ribosomal RNA
Source: RNAcentral